This 429-nucleotide ribosomal RNA is filed under the name Chloroflexota bacterium. Its description in RNAcentral is "Chloroflexi bacterium partial 16S ribosomal RNA". It matches the Rfam family "Bacterial small subunit ribosomal RNA", at positions 355 to 776 of the family's 1533-position model. The record is from RNAcentral. Lineage: Bacteria; Bacillati; Chloroflexota.
UGGGGAAUAUUGCACAAUGGGCGCAAGCCUGAUGCAGCCAUGCCGCGUGUGUGAAGAAGGCCUUCGGGUUGUAAAGCACUUUCAGCGGGGAGGAAGGCGUUAAGGUUAAUAACCUUGGCGAUUGACGUUACCCGCAGAAGAAGCACCGGCUAACUCCGCGCCAGCAGCCGCGGUAAUACGGAGGGUGCAAGCGUUAAUCGGAAUUACUGGGCGUAAAGCGCACGCAGGCGGUCUGUCAAGUCGGAUGUGAAAUCCCCGGGCUCAACCUGGGAAAUGCAUUCGAAAAUGGAAGGAUAGAGUCUUGUAGAGGAGGGUAGAAUUCCAGGUGUAGCGGUGAAAUGAGUAGAGAUCUGGAGGAAUACCGGUAGCGGAGGCGGCCCCCUGGAAAAAGACAGACGCUAAGGUGCGAAAGCGUGGGGAGCAAACAGG